This 67-nucleotide transfer RNA is filed under the name Marmota monax (woodchuck). RNAcentral describes it as "tRNA.Ala". Lineage: Eukaryota; Metazoa; Chordata; Mammalia; Rodentia; Sciuridae. The record is from RNAcentral.
GGUUGUGGCUCAGACGAAGAACACUUGCCUAGCAUGCAUGAGGCACUGGGUUCGAUCCUCAGCACCA